This 73-nucleotide transfer RNA is filed under the name Micromonas pusilla CCMP1545. RNAcentral describes it as "tRNA-Ile". It matches the Rfam family "tRNA". From Rfam's summary of the family: Transfer RNA (tRNA) molecules are approximately 80 nucleotides in length. Lineage: Eukaryota; Viridiplantae; Chlorophyta; Mamiellophyceae; Mamiellales; Mamiellaceae. The record is from RNAcentral.
GAGACUCUAGCUCAGUUGGUAGAGCGCCGUGUUGAUAACGCGAAGGUCAUUGGUUCAAGUCCAAUGAGUCUCA